ACCUACGGGGGGCAGCAGUGAGGAAUAUUGGUCAAUGGGCGAGAGCCUGAACCAGCCAAGUCGCGUGAGGGAGUACUGCCCUAUGGGUUGUAAACCUCUUUUGUCGGGGAGCAAAAGCCGGACGUGUCCGGCUGUGAGAGUACCCGAAGAAAAAGCAUCGGCUAACUCCGUGCCAGCAGCCGCGGGAAUACGGAGGAUGCGAGCGUUAUCCGGAUUUAUUGGGUUUAAUGGGUGCGUAGGCGGAUCGUUAAGUCAGUGGUCAAAUUGAGGGGCGCAACCCCUUCCCGCCAUUGAAACUGGCGCUC
RNAcentral lists this ribosomal RNA (305 nucleotides) under uncultured bacterium. RNAcentral describes it as "bacterial SSU rRNA". It matches the Rfam family "Bacterial small subunit ribosomal RNA", at positions 337 to 641 of the family's 1533-position model. The record is from RNAcentral.